GCGGCAGGCUACACUGCAGUGUAACGCCCUUCGGGUGAGCGCCGGACGGGAUAGUAACGCGUGGGAACGUGCCCUUCUCUACGGAAUAGCCUCUGGAAACGGAGAGUAAUACCGUAUACGCCCUUUGGGGGAAAGAUUUAUCGGAGAAGGAUCGGCCCGCGUUAGAUUAGGUAGUUGGUGGGGUAACGGCCUACCAAGCCUACGAUCUAUAGCUGGUUUUAGAGGAUGAUCAGCAACACUGGGACUGAGACACGGCCCAGACUCCUACGGGAGGCAGCAGUGGGGAAUCUUAGACAAUGGGGGCAACCCUGAUCUAGCCAUGCCGCGUGAGUGAUGAAAGCCUUAGGGUCGUAAAGCUCUUUCGCCUGUGAUGAUAAUGACAGUAGCAGGGUAAGAAACCCCGGCUAACUCCGUGCCAGCAGCCGCGGUAAUACGGAGGGGGUUAGCGUUGUUCGGAAUUACUGGGCGUAAAGCGCGCGUAAGCGGAUUAGAAAGUUGGGGGUGAAAUCCCGGGGCUCAACCCCGGAACUGACUCCAAAACUGCUAGUCUAGAGUUCGAGAGAGGUGAGUGGAAUUCCGAGUGUAGAGGUGAAAUUCGAAGAUAUUCGGAGGAACACCAGUGGCGAAGGCGGGUCACUGGCUCGAUACUGACGCUGAGUGCGAAAGUGUGGGGAGCACACACGAUUUGAUACCUGGUAGUCCGCCGGUACGAUGAUGACAGCGCGGAUAGAUA
RNAcentral lists this ribosomal RNA (733 nucleotides) under uncultured Alphaproteobacteria bacterium. RNAcentral's name for it is "bacterial SSU rRNA". It matches the Rfam family "Bacterial small subunit ribosomal RNA", at positions 57 to 830 of the family's 1533-position model. The record is from RNAcentral. Lineage: Bacteria; Pseudomonadati; Pseudomonadota; Alphaproteobacteria.